This 76-nucleotide transfer RNA is filed under the name Pseudothermotoga hypogea. Its description in RNAcentral is "tRNA-Lys". It matches the Rfam family "tRNA". Rfam says of the family: Transfer RNA (tRNA) molecules are approximately 80 nucleotides in length. Their secondary structure includes four short double-helical elements and three loops (D, anti-codon, and T loops). RNAcentral also lists the same sequence under 7 other names. Lineage: Bacteria; Thermotogati; Thermotogota; Thermotogae; Thermotogales; Thermotogaceae. The record is from RNAcentral.
GACCCGCUAGCUCAGCAGGCAGAGCACCUGACUUUUAAUCAGGGGGUCCUGGGUUCGAGUCCCAGGCGGGUCACCA